AGACGAAUGUGGCAAGCGUUGUUCGGAAUCACUGGGCUUAAAGCGCUCGUAGGCGGUUUUGUAAGUCAGUUGUGAAAGCCCACGGCCCAACCGUGGAACUGCACCUGAAACUGCAAAACUGGAGGACAGUAGGGGAAUGUGGAAUUCUGGGUGUAGCGGUGAAAUGCGUAGAUAUCCAGGAGAACGCCGGUGGCGAAGGCGGCAUUCUGGGCUGUUCCUGACGCUGAGGGGCGAAAGCUAGGGGAGCGAACGGGAUUAGAAACCCCAGUAGUCC
RNAcentral lists this ribosomal RNA (274 nucleotides) under uncultured bacterium. Its description in RNAcentral is "partial 16S ribosomal RNA". It matches the Rfam family "Bacterial small subunit ribosomal RNA", at positions 523 to 796 of the family's 1533-position model. The record is from RNAcentral.